UUUUGAUAUGUGCCAUGCAUAUAUUCGUCGACGUUUCCGGUACCGCCACCAACCGCUAUUGUGCACCGCUUGGGAAAAACGUGAUAUUAAAAUCGGACUAAAUCAUUCUAAGAUCAUCGAUAAGCUUAGGAGCGUUGCUUUGGGCUCGGAUUAAAUUCUAAAGAGGAGCCUAGUGACGCGAAUGUGGAAAAGAUGAAUUAUCGAUGGAGCCAAUGUGUUUAGCCUAUUUCUAUUUCGUGUCAUUGUCUUAUCUUUUGAGCAUUUUAUAUGUAUUCGACUUCGAAUCCAAUGAUCGGUAUAUCUGAAUGAGCUAUGAAAUAGUUAGGAAUGAGGAAUGGUGGAUGCUAAGUAUUAUUUUGGGUGUUUAUGACUUAUUAAAUUUAACUAUUUGGUGAU
Humulus lupulus (European hop) is the source of this 396-nucleotide long non-coding RNA. RefSeq lists it as uncharacterized. Lineage: Eukaryota; Viridiplantae; Streptophyta; Magnoliopsida; Rosales; Cannabaceae. The transcript has 3 exons. The record is from RefSeq and is a predicted model, not a curated record.